GACGAACGCUGGCGGCGUGCUUAACACAUGCAAGUCGAACGGAAAGGCCCUGCUUUUGUGGGGUGCUCGAGUGGCGAACGGGUGAGUAACACGUGAGUAACCUGCCCUUGACUUUGGGAUAACUUCAGGAAACUGGGGCUAAUACCGGAUAGGAGCUCCUGCUGCAUGGUGGGGGUUGGAAAGUUUCGGCGGUUGGGGAUGGACUCGCGGCUUAUCAGCUUGUUGGUGGGGUAGUGGCUUACCAAGGCUUUGACGGGUAGCCGGCCUGAGAGGGUGACCGGCCACAUUGGGACUGAGAUACGGCCCAGAGUCCUACGGGAGGCAGCAGUGGGGAAUAUUGCACAAUGGGCGGAAGCCUGAUGCAGCAACGCCGCGUGCGGGAUGACGGCCUUCGGGUUGGAAACCGCUUUCGCCUGUGACGAAGCGUGAGUGACGGUAAUGGGUAAAGAAGCACCGGCUAACUCCGUG
Molecule: ribosomal RNA, 468 nt
Filed under: uncultured bacterium
Lineage: Bacteria
Description: partial 16S ribosomal RNA
Rfam family: Bacterial small subunit ribosomal RNA
Source: RNAcentral